This is a long non-coding RNA of Juglans microcarpa x Juglans regia, 292 nucleotides long. RefSeq lists it as uncharacterized. The transcript is spliced from 3 exons. NCBI's taxonomy places the organism in Eukaryota, Viridiplantae, Streptophyta, Magnoliopsida, Fagales, Juglandaceae. The record is from RefSeq and is a predicted model, not a curated record.
UACAACUCAACUGGGAACGCACCGUUUGAAGAGGAUGGAAGACUGAUUGAAGACACACCGUUUUGCUGAGGAUGAAGCACAUCAUUUCAUCAAUUGGAGUUAACCGCAACACACCGUUUCGAGCAACUACUUUAUUCUAGAAUAUUUCAUUUCUGAGUUUGUUAUUUUAUGUCUGAGUCUGUUAUUUUAAGGAACACGUGUCAUCCUUUUUUUUUCAUUAGUUUUCAUCCCUGCAUGGAUAUGUAGUGGAAUGGAAGGAAAGGAAAUCAUCUGAACAUAGACACUGAAAUUG